RNAcentral lists this ribosomal RNA (515 nucleotides) under uncultured bacterium. Its description in RNAcentral is "partial 16S ribosomal RNA". It matches the Rfam family "Bacterial small subunit ribosomal RNA", at positions 28 to 523 of the family's 1533-position model. The record is from RNAcentral.
GAUGAACGCUGGCGGCGUGCCUAAUACAUGCAAGUCGGGCGAACGGAUUAAGAGCUUGCUCUUAUGAAGUUAGAGGCGGACGGGUGAGUAACACGUGGGUAACCUGCCCAUAAGACUGGGAUAACUCCGGGAAACCGCGGCUACUACCGGAUAACAUCUUGAACCGCAUGGUUCGAAAGUGAAAGGUGGCUUCGGCUGUUAACUAAGGAUGGACCCGCGUCACAUUAGCUAGUUGCUGAGGUAACGGCUCACCAACGCAACGAUGCGUAGCCGACGUGUAAGGAUGAUCGGCCACAAUGUGACUGUGAAACGGCCCAGACUCCUACGGGAGGCAGCAGUAGGGAAUCUUCCGCAAUGGACGAAAGUCUGACGGAGCAACGCCGCGUGAGUGAUGAAGGCUUUCGGGUCGUAAAACUCUGUUGUUAGGGAAGAACAAGUGCUAGUUGAAUAAGCUGGCACCUUGACGGUACCUAACCAGAAAGCCACGGCUAACUACGUGCCAGCCGCCGCGGUAA